RNAcentral lists this ribosomal RNA (772 nucleotides) under Salmonella enterica. Its description in RNAcentral is "partial 23S ribosomal RNA". It matches the Rfam family "Bacterial large subunit ribosomal RNA", at positions 1 to 705 of the family's 2925-position model. Lineage: Bacteria; Pseudomonadati; Pseudomonadota; Gammaproteobacteria; Enterobacterales; Enterobacteriaceae. The record is from RNAcentral.
GGGUUGUGAGGUUAAGCGACUAAGCGUACACGGUGGAUGCCCUGGCAGUCAGAGGCGAUGAAGGGCGUGCUAAUCUGCGAUAAGCGCCGGUAAGGUGAUAUGAACCGUUAUAACCGGCGAUACCCGAAUGGGGAAACCCAGUGUGACUCGUCACACUAUCAUUAACUGAAUCCAUAGGUUAAUGAGGCGAACCGGGGGAACUGAAACAUCUAAGUACCCCGAGGAAAAGAAAUCAACCGAGAUUCCCCCAGUAGCGGCGAGCGAACGGGGAGGAGCCCAGAGCCUGAAUCAGCAUGUGUGUUAGUGGAAGCGUCUGGAAAGGCGCGCGAUACAGGGUGACAGCCCCGUACACAAAAGCGCAUGUGCUGUGAGCUCGAUGAGUAGGGCGGGACACGUGGUAUCCUGUCUGAAUAUGGGGGGACCAUCCUCCAAGGCUAAAUACUCCUGACUGACCGAUAGUGAACCAGUACCGUGAGGGAAAGGCGAAAAGAACCCCGGCGAGGGGAGUGAAAAAGAACCUGAAACCGUGUACGUACAAGCAGUGGGAGCCCCACCACUAAGCCAGUGGUGAACUCCACAUACGCAUCCUUUGCUGAGGAUACGGUUAACGGAGCGAAAGCGACGUUCAACCUCAAAAGAAGCAGAGGGGGCUUAGUGGUGGGGUGACUGCGUACCUUUUGUAUAAUGGGUCAGCGACUUAUAUUCUGUAGCAAGGUUAACCGAAUAGGGGAGCCGGAGGGAAACCGAGUCUUAAUUGGGCGUUAAGUUGCAG